This 413-nucleotide ribosomal RNA is filed under the name uncultured prokaryote. Its description in RNAcentral is "bacterial SSU rRNA". It matches the Rfam family "Bacterial small subunit ribosomal RNA", at positions 505 to 918 of the family's 1533-position model. The record is from RNAcentral.
GUGUCAGCCGCCGCGGUAAUACGUAGGCAGCGAGCGUUGUUCGGAGUUACUGGGCGUAAAGGGUGUGUAGGCGGCUUGCCAAGUUCGGUGCGAAAUCUCCCGGCUUAACUGGGAGGGUGCGCCGAAUACUGGCAGGCUUGAGUGCGGGAUGGGAGAGCGGAAUUCCUGGUGUAGCGGUGAAACGCGUAGAGAUCAGGAGGAACACCUGCGGUGUAGACGGCUCUCUGGACCGCCACUGACGCUGAGACACGAAAGCGUGGGUAGCAAACAGGAUUAGAUACCCUGGUAGUCCACGCCCUAAACGAUGCAUACUUGGUGUGGGCAGUUCAUUCUGCCCGUGCCGAAGCUAACGCGUUAAGUAUGCCGCCUGGGGAGUACGGUCGCAAGGCUGAAACUCAAAUGAAUUGGCGGGG